Molecule: long non-coding RNA, 721 nt
Filed under: Salvia miltiorrhiza (redroot sage)
Lineage: Eukaryota; Viridiplantae; Streptophyta; Magnoliopsida; Lamiales; Lamiaceae
Description: long non-coding RNA (SMIL_LNC006062)
Source: RNAcentral
GAAUGUGGAUGAUGAAAAUGGGUACAAGAAACAAUAUUUAUGUAAUAGCGAUUGUUAUGAUAAUGGGCAUUGAAAUGGUUAAUGCUUUUAGGGUUGGGGUUGAUCUAAUGCUAGGCAUCGAUUCUGGUGGACUUCUUGGAGAUGAUGGCAUUCUCGGCGGACUUCUUGGAGAUGAGGGCCUUCUCGGCGGACUUCUUGGAGAUGAUGGCAUUCUCGGCGGACUUCUUGAAGAAGAUGGCCUUCUCGGCGGACUUCUUGGAGAUGAUGGCAUUCUCGGCGGACUUCUUGAAGAAGAUGGCCUUCUCGGCGGACUUCUUGGAGAUGAUGGCAUUCUUGACAUGCUUUUAGGUCCCUAACACUAAUUAAGCGAGAUUGUCAGCCACAAAUUUAAGAGUUUUACAUAGUUUCCCGUUUAUAGAUACGGUCAAAAUAAUAUAUGUUUUACAUGUUUUUUUCAUUUCCUGGCAGCUUUGAGGUGUCCGGGUUUACAUGGGGACGAUGGUUAGGCCAGAGUUCCCGAUGCAUUCCCACCCUCCUUGCUGCGUUCUCUCUUGGUUUUUGCUUCUCUUCCUUUCCUAGACGAGUACUCUUUUUCCUUGUUAUGGUUUUUCCCAUGGGGUUUUUUGUAACAAGGUUUUAAUGAGGCUCGGCCCUUUGAUUGCGUCCUGUGCUUUCUUGGGUUUUUUUUAGGUUUUUUGUUUUGCAAUAAAAUCGUAUUUUA